CGGGGCGUGGCGCAGACUGGUAGCGCGCUUGAAUGGGGUGCAAGAGGUCGGAGGUUCAAAUCCUCUCGCCCCGA
Molecule: transfer RNA, 74 nt
Filed under: Myxococcales bacterium
Lineage: Bacteria; Pseudomonadati; Myxococcota; Myxococcia; Myxococcales
Description: tRNA-Pro
Rfam family: tRNA
About the family: Transfer RNA (tRNA) molecules are approximately 80 nucleotides in length.
Source: RNAcentral